Molecule: long non-coding RNA, 1073 nt
Filed under: Numida meleagris (helmeted guineafowl)
Lineage: Eukaryota; Metazoa; Chordata; Aves; Galliformes; Numididae
Description: lncRNA (ENSNMEG00000009026.1)
Source: RNAcentral
GAGGAGAGGCCAGGGCAGGCCGGGGGCCGCGGUCGGUGGGCCGGGCCGGCGCUAGUCGGGGCGCGGCGGCGGCUCCUGCCCUCCGCGCGAGCGCAGGUCGGGGAGGGCCUGGCCGAGGCGCCGCCGCGCGGGGCGAGGCCGCAUCCGCGGCAGCCGCGGGCCUCAGUGGCGGCGGGCGGGGGCCCCGCCGGCGGCGCCGCCGCUCUGCAUCCCGAGCCCUCUCGCACCCCCGCGCCGCGCCGCGCCGGCCGCCCUAGGCCGCGGCCUCUCCGGCGCCUGGCAGCCGCCUCGGCAGCGCGUCCCCGGCGAAGGGAAGGGGCUCCCCUGGGGCCGAAGCCGGCCGCCUCCGCCCGCCCCGGCGGCAGCAGCGGGCGAGGGCCCGCGGCGGGGGUGGGGGAGCCGCUCAGAGCCGCGCCGCGGCCGCCGCUGCUGACAUCAGAGCCGCUUCCUGCCGCCCCGGCCUGGGGACGCGGAGGAGGGAGCGCAGGGGGAGGGGGCGGGAAGUGGAAACGCGCCGGCAGCCGCUGCUACUCAGGCGGCCGCGGAGGGGCCACGGCCUGGCGGCGGCACCGCCGCUCCGCCCCCCGCUCCGCCGCCCGGCUCCGCCAGGGGGAGCUUCGCCGGCCCCGCUUCCUCUUCCUGUAGCACUGGCGCCGGGAGGGGUGGGCACGGGUGGGGUGUCCCGGUUCCCGUCGUGGUGCCGGCAGCGAGAAAUGCGGGGUGUCUGCGGGACGCGGCGGGGUGGGGACCGAGGGAGGCGUCGCCAUCUUAGCCGUAGGGCAGCGAGAGGCGACCCUUGGCGGGCGGUAGUGCCCUGGGGCUUUACGGAGGCCGGCGGGCGCACAGGAAGGAGGUAUGCACAUGGUGGACAUGCAUCCUGGGACUUGUUUUCUCUGAAGACAGAGGCGCAGUGCAGCACCCGUGCUGUAAAGCAGCGCUUACUCACGAAAACUCAUGAGUUGGGAGAAGAGGAGGGAGUUUUCACAGGAUUUGCUGUGGAUACCACAACUUAUCUUUGCUGGAGGAAAAGUGAGCUACAUAGCUACAAGAAGGAAAUGGGAGCGCAUGUAUAG